Pseudomyrmex gracilis is the source of this 487-nucleotide long non-coding RNA. RefSeq lists it as uncharacterized. The transcript is spliced from 3 exons. The record is from RefSeq and is a predicted model, not a curated record. Lineage: Eukaryota; Metazoa; Arthropoda; Insecta; Hymenoptera; Formicidae.
UAAUCUGUUCCCUUUGAGUUAUUAUCUUUUUUAUUUCUCUGAACAUCAACAAAAUCUUGUACACUUGUAGCGCAUUUAGAAAUCAUACAUUUAAAAACUUGAUCUCUGUAGUUUUCAACGAAAAAAUAAAUCUUAUGAAUAAUGUAGUUUCGCUUUUCGGUUUGUCAAACGGUCAAUAACAAGUCAUUCAUAGUAGGAGAAAACAUUUAAAUAAACUGCUUUGCAUAUUCUUCUUCAGUCUGUAUCCGAUCAUUUUCGAGUGAAAACGUCUUUUUUUCUCAAAGUUACAUAAGUCAUUAUUAGAAAAAUAAAAUUUGGUGAUAAUGAAGACAAUAAUUAUUCUCUUAACAGUCGUUGUAAUCACCACGACGCUGGAAUUACCUAGCAAUAUUACACUUUGUCAUAAGUCAGAUCCAAAAGUAUUAAAAUGUCUUGGAGAAGCCACCGAAACUAUGAUGAAAAUCGUAGCCAAUGGUCUGAAGGGCUU